This 72-nucleotide transfer RNA is filed under the name Bos taurus (domestic cattle). It matches the Rfam family "tRNA". Rfam says of the family: Transfer RNA (tRNA) molecules are approximately 80 nucleotides in length. Their secondary structure includes four short double-helical elements and three loops (D, anti-codon, and T loops). RNAcentral also lists the same sequence under 4 other names. Lineage: Eukaryota; Metazoa; Chordata; Mammalia; Artiodactyla; Bovidae. The record is from Rfam by way of RNAcentral.
UCCCUUGUAGCUCAGUUGGGAAAGAAUCUGCCUAUAAUGCAGGAGACCUGGGUUCGAUUCCUGGGUUGGGAA